This 500-nucleotide ribosomal RNA is filed under the name uncultured bacterium. Its description in RNAcentral is "partial 16S ribosomal RNA". It matches the Rfam family "Bacterial small subunit ribosomal RNA", at positions 30 to 523 of the family's 1533-position model. The record is from RNAcentral.
AUUGAACGCUGGCGGCAGGCCUAACACAUGCAAGUCGAGCGGAUGACGGGAGCUUGCUCCUUGAUUCAGCGGCGGACGGGUGAGUAAUGCCUAGGAAUCUGCCUGGUAGUGGGGGACAACGUUUCGAAAGGAACGCUAAUACCGCAUACGUCCUACGGGAGAAAGCAGGGGACCUUCGGGCCUUGCGCUAUCAGAUGAGCCUAGGUCGGAUUAGCUAGUUGGUGGGGUAAUGGCUCAUCAAGGCGACGAUCCGUAACUGGUCUGAGAGGAUGAUCAGUCACACUGGAACUGAGACACGGUCCAGACUCCGACGGGAGGCAGCAGUGGGGAAUAUUGGACAAUGGGCGAAAGCCUGAUCCAGCCAUGCCGCGUGUGUGAAGAAGGUCUUCGGAUUGUAAAGCACUUUAAGUUGGGAGGAAGGGCAGUAAGCUAAUACCUUGCUGUUUUGACGUUACCGACAGAAUAAGCACCGGCUAACUCUGUGCCAGCCGCCGCAGUAA